CCUGUCAAGUCACUUUCCAGCAGAAAUACUGAGCAGCGUGGCUUCCUGUUCACCCAUGUAUUCCCUGCCUUCUCAACGCCCACAACCUUCAGGUCUUGACAGGGAUAGUUUGUUUGCAUCCAGCACUGCUGCCAUCAGCUUCAGGGUGCAAACUCAUGGCAUCUUCAGAGUUAAGCCACUGCACAAAUUCCUGCAUCUGUUUCCCAACGUCCUGGGGGUGAGGGGGUAUGUGAUGCCCUACAAACACCUGCGUAGUCCUGAACCGCCCCGCCUCCACGGGGUCAGCAUAGCCCAGCACUCUCCGGUGUAUCUCCAGGAUGUCAGUGAUGGUAACAGAGCCUAUUCGGGAUACCAGCGUGGUAUUGACGUAUUUCAAAGCUGCAUGCAUGCCAAUCACCUCAUUCUGCUCCACUAAACUUUUUCCAGGAACAGCGUAUCUGGUCUCGAUGAUGUGUCGAAUUUCUGACAGCGUCAGAGUGUUCCCUUCAAUAGCAACCGUGUGGUAGAUGUGGUGAUAGUAGGACUCCUCCAUCACUCGGCGCAGGGCGGAAUUGCCUUUGGGGAUCGCCAUCACUUUUUUAACCUUGCUGUCAAUAAUGCUAAAAUACCUCUGAUCGAUUUCUUCAACUAAAGGCAACGUCCGGUCCCGAUUGAUCAAAGCCUUCUCGUUGCAGGGAGAAAGGGUUAGUGCUUUGGAGUACAAAUAGUCUGCUUGAAGAAUGUCUUUUUCCUCUUCAGAAAAAAUGCCAAAUUCAUUCAGGGCAUCCACGUAAUCAGGGUCCAUUUUGAGGGCAUACACAAAGAGUUUGUGUGCUUUUUCUCGCUUUCCUUGGCGCUUCAUUUCCAGGGCUUGGUUCAGAGCUG
RNAcentral lists this long non-coding RNA (864 nucleotides) under Gallus gallus (chicken). RNAcentral describes it as "long non-coding RNA NONGGAT002836". Lineage: Eukaryota; Metazoa; Chordata; Aves; Galliformes; Phasianidae. The record is from RNAcentral.